UACGGAGGGGGCUAGCGUUGUUCGGAAUUACUGGGCGUAAAGCGCACGUAGGCGGCUUCGCAAGUCAGAGGUGAAAGCCUGGGGCUCAACCUCAGAACUGCCUUUGAGACUGCGAGGCUCGAAUCCGGGAGAGGUGAGUGGAAUUCCGAGUGUAGAGGUGAAAUUCGUAGAUAUUCGGAAGAACACCAGUGGCGAAGGCGGCUCACUGGACCGGCACUGACGCUGAGGUGCGAAAGCGUGGGGAGCAAACAGG
This 253-nucleotide ribosomal RNA is filed under the name uncultured bacterium. RNAcentral's name for it is "partial 16S ribosomal RNA". It matches the Rfam family "Bacterial small subunit ribosomal RNA", at positions 524 to 776 of the family's 1533-position model. The record is from RNAcentral.